CUCUAAUGUAAUGAGAGAGAUUAUUCAGUUGAAUUUUGGUCAAACUGGCUGUCGUGUUGCAGAGCAAUACUGGCAAGCCAUGC
This 83-nucleotide non-coding RNA is filed under the name Protocruzia adhaerens. The record is from RNAcentral. Lineage: Eukaryota; Ciliophora; Spirotrichea.